Molecule: non-coding RNA, 79 nt
Filed under: Proteomonas sulcata
Lineage: Eukaryota; Cryptophyceae; Pyrenomonadales; Geminigeraceae
Source: RNAcentral
GACUCCUUGGUAAUAUAUUGCUGCUUCUCCGGAAAAAAAAAAAAAAAAGAAAAAAGAAAAAAAAAAAAAAAAAAAUAUG